This 465-nucleotide small RNA is filed under the name Theobroma cacao (cacao). RNAcentral's name for it is "sRNA Tc02v2_g021740". The record is from RNAcentral. Lineage: Eukaryota; Viridiplantae; Streptophyta; Magnoliopsida; Malvales; Malvaceae.
UUUAAUGUUUUCAUUUGGUGGAAACUCAAUAGUCAUAGGUAUCCUACUCUUGCCCUACUAGCUCGUGAUGUAUUAGCGAUUCCUCCAUCCACAAUUGCUUCGGAAUCAGCUUUUAGCACCGAUGGUCGUGUGCUUGAUGCAUAUAGGAGUUCUUUAAUGCCUAAGAUGGUGCAAGCUCUUAUUUGUGCUCAAGAUUGGCUACGUGGACCUUUCUAUUAUCUUCAUGACACUGAGAAUGAUUUGGCAGAGCUUGAGAAAGUUGAUGAAGAGUUGUCAAAGAUUGCAGUGGACAAUGUACUUGAUAAUCUUUAAGGUUGCUGUUGAAAAUCCAACCCAAGCACCUGCCAUUGCACUUCCCUUUGUUGCACCACUCUUGUCUCCUACAUCUUUCCUUCCAUCUGAACCCCCCUCUGUUGUUGUUUUGUAUGUUUAAUUAUCAUGACAGUAAUGGUAGUUGUUAGUUGU